GAUGAACGCUAGCGGCAUGCCUUACACAUGCAAGUCGAACGGCAGCACGGGAGCAAUCCUGGUGGCGAGUGGCGAACGGGUGAGUAAUAUAUCGGAACGUGCCCGGUCGUGGGGAUAACGUAGCGAAAGCUACGCUAAUACCGCAUACGAUCUACGGAUGAAAGCGGGGGAUCGCAAGACCUCGCGCGAUUGGAGCGGCCGAUAUCAGAUUAGGUAGUUGGUGAGGUAAAGGCUCACCAAGCCGACGAUCUGUAGCUGGUCUGAGAGGACGACCAGCCACACUGGGACUGAGACACGGCCCAGACUCCUACGGGAGGCAGCAGUGGGGAAUUUUGGACAAUGGGCGCAAGCCUGAUCCAGCAAUGCCGCGUGCAGGAUG
This 379-nucleotide ribosomal RNA is filed under the name uncultured bacterium. RNAcentral describes it as "bacterial SSU rRNA". It matches the Rfam family "Bacterial small subunit ribosomal RNA", at positions 28 to 410 of the family's 1533-position model. The record is from RNAcentral.